GAACAAGAGUUAAAUAUAGGCAUGCACAUGUUUCUUUGGAAUCCUCUCCAUGGCACAAAGGGGAAGGUAAGAUGCCUUUUUCACCUUUGGCACAGCAGUGCCUCGUAGCUUCUGUACCAUCUUUUUAACCCCAAAACCUAAGGGAGGGGAGUGCAGUGCUGCCAGGCAGAUGCCCUCCUGCCCAGCUCUGCCUCCUGUGCUCACCAUUUCAGUGAGAUAAGAAGUUAGGCACAAGUUUCAGUUUCUUUACGAAUGGGCAGGAAUAUUGGAAAUCAGGUCCUUAGGGUCUAACCUCCAUCUGGGCCUGCAGCACUCCCAGGCUGCAGCACUCUGGCAGAGCGAGCAGGCUGAAAAAUACCCCAGUUCUCCUUGGAAAAGCCACCGCUUUGGGGUGGUCACUAUUAAGUGGUUAAGCGGAAUAAUAGCAAAUUCCCUUUGCGAUACAGAGCCAUGGGAUGGCAGCCAGGUGAUGCUCUUCUUUUUCCUGGGCACUGCAGGAAGAGGAGGAGGAGGAGGAAGGCUGGCAGACAGCAGGACGUCUGUCUGACCUGUCUGUUGUCCUCAGGUGGGCAGGAUGGAGGGGUGCAGAGGGCAGUGUGUGCCCACACAAGGACCGAAUCAGCACGGACACUGAUCAAUAGGCAAUCGUACAUGACAACAAAAUAUUGGAUCUCGCCUGCAGCGCUGCGUAGCCUUUUUCUUUAAUGUGCUGGCACCGAGAAAGAAACUUCCCCAAGUUGUGCGAAUCGCUGCUGGUCAAACGAGAGCCUCGCUGUAGCAUGAAAUGCGAAGUGGCACCUCGGGUACAGCUAAUGGAGCCAUCACGGUCCUAAAAGUUACUUAGGGCACCUCAAAGGGAUGAGCUCCUUCGCGUUCAGCCUCCUGGGGAUGUGUUUCGUUGCUUGUCCCUUCGGGCUCGCUGUUCAUCGCCAGGCACUGGGACUACGUACGAGCACACUGGGAGGAAGCCCGGACAAUGCGUCAUGUCAGGUGAGGGUAAUGCUGAGCUCGUCCUGACCUUGAACACUGCAGCUUUACACAGAGCAGGAUCUCAGGGAUCAGCUGGCAUGGAAAGGGUUCAGCUCAGGCCAGGCACCGGAGUGCUGCUGGAGCAGGAUCGGUGCUGGUGAACCCCACGGCGCUUCUUGGUGCAGCAGAACCAGCACCACAGGGUGCAGGGAGGACGAGGGAGGGGUAAACCCAAACGCAGGCAGCCUCUGCCCCCAAACCUGGUGCAAAG
This 1240-nucleotide long non-coding RNA is filed under the name Anas platyrhynchos platyrhynchos (common mallard). RNAcentral's name for it is "lncRNA (ENSAPLG00000022598.1)". Lineage: Eukaryota; Metazoa; Chordata; Aves; Anseriformes; Anatidae. The record is from RNAcentral.